AUUUAAUUGGUAAUAAGCAGAUGAGGCCACCCUGGUGGUGUGUUUGAUGCGUUGCUCUCCUGAAGCACAGGGUGUGGAUUAAGUUACAGAAGAAUGGUGGAUCCAACCUUGCAAACACUAUUCAGGUUUCCCUCCUGGUCAUCUGGUUCUAAAGAGAGACAAAGAGCAUCCUGCUCCCAGCUUUGCCUGUCCAUACUGGAACAACGUCCCCAAAACGGGAAGGUUUUAGAAAUGAAGGUCCAACUCCAGUGGUUCAAAGCCUGGCAGCAAUGUCUGAGCAACUUUGGCAUGUAAUCUGUUUGAAAGGGUUUGGUUUCAGAUCCUGAAAGACAAACAUGUUCCUGACUGACUGGUUGAAAUUAUUUUUGCCUGUCUGGUGCUAGACAUAUAAAUGAAAGCAGCACUGGGUUGUUUCUGUUUCCGCACUUAGAAGAUGAAGAAGAGCAGCUUGUGCUCACCUACUAGCUCAGGUCAGCUCACACAGGCUCCUUCCUGCUCAUUUCCAGGGAUUUCUAUCUGAACUGUCUGAAACAUGCCAAAAAUUAACAUCCAACCUGUAAAAACAGGAGCAAAACAAAACCGUUUCCCUGAAGCUUUAGCAGGACCUACAGUAGCAGCUGGCAAAGAAUUGUGCUGAUGUGAAACAGCAUAGGGAACUGAUUUAACAAGUAAAUUAAGUAUUUUCUACACCUUGUAUAUAUUCAAGUCUCUUACCCCCGGGUAUGCUGUCAAUGAAUGCAACUGCAGCUCUGCCAUGACAGCCCCACAUUCAAUAGCACCUUUGUCAGGGAAAAAAUGUCAGGGUUUUCAGGCAAACUGUAAUAGCAGGUCAGUGCUUGGAGCCCUGAGCCUAAUUAUUGGCAAAACAGCAUUUGAAGAUUCAGCGUUAGUUUGCACUACGCUUGUUCUCUGCCCAUUAGAGGCUACAAGAGAUACCAGGACAGCACAGGAGACAUAAUGAAGGUCUAUCAAAGCACGAAAGACAUAGGGAAAAGGAACAGGGGAUGAUUAUUCCCUUUUCCUUAACACAGAGGAAAUAGCCAUCAAUCAAUCACAUUACCAGGCAGCAAGGCUUAAAUUCAACACAAGGAAAUACAUUUCCAACCGCUCCAAAAGGUCCAAAGCCCACCUUGAUCAAAAUAUUAACUAAUCAGAACCACAGAGUUUUAGUCUUCUAUAGAUCCUAGAGGUAACAGCUUAUAUGCAGCCUGUGGCUCAGAAGUCCCAAACCUGGAGAGGUUUUUGAAGGUGCCUUGUGGUACUCUAUGCACCAUUGUUUUACCCCCUCCAAUGCCCUUUGUUACUACCCAUUUCUGAACAUAGGGUGCCAGGCUGUAUGGACCAUUAGAGAGAGCUCUUGAGAGAUUGUAGGCACAGUUAUAAAGCUUUUAGCAGUAGAACUUACCCCUGUGUGGAGAAGGAAAAGAAGCCAAGCUAACAUAAGGACCUCAGAGCUGCAUCUUCAGUAGAGUUCUUCGUCAUGAAACAAUGUUGGUAAAAGAAAUGUGCAGACUAGACUUAGUCCAUGUUUCCAUGGUCAUGGUGAUGUGAGAGAACUACAGAUUAAUAUAUGCUGACAUCCAGACAUUCAGAGACCUACAAGACUGCCCUUGCCCUGUUAAUAAGUUCAUCCAAAAUAGGAACAGAAAAAGUAUUAUGCACUUCUAAUUGGUCACAACCAACAUUUCAUACGUAGAACUCGACAUUCCCAAACUAUUUGGUCAGACUUGAAAAAGAGCUUGAGCUAAAAUAAAAAUCCAUUGAGUCCAUUUGUUCUGCA
RNAcentral lists this long non-coding RNA (1780 nucleotides) under Anser brachyrhynchus (Pink-footed goose). RNAcentral's name for it is "lncRNA (ENSABRG00000000202.1)". The record is from RNAcentral. Lineage: Eukaryota; Metazoa; Chordata; Aves; Anseriformes; Anatidae.